GACAGGGGAUGCAAGCGUUACUCGGAAUUACUGGGCGUAAAGCGUCUGCAGGUGUCCUGUUACGUCUGAUGUCAAAUGGCGAUGCUUAACAUCGUCAGCGCAUCGGAAACGAGCGGGAUCGAGUCACCCAGAGGCAUCUGGAAUGUCGUGUGUAGGGGUAAAAUCCGUAGAUCCACGAUGGAACGCCGAAAGCGAAGGCAGGAUGCUGGGGGUGCACUGACACUCAGAGACGAAAGCGUGGGGAGCAAAG
This 250-nucleotide ribosomal RNA is filed under the name uncultured bacterium. Its description in RNAcentral is "partial 16S ribosomal RNA". It matches the Rfam family "Bacterial small subunit ribosomal RNA", at positions 524 to 773 of the family's 1533-position model. The record is from RNAcentral.